UUAAAUAUAGUUUAACUAAAACAUUAUAUUUUCAUUAUAAAAAUAAUUUACUUAAAUUUAUUUAAA
Molecule: transfer RNA, 66 nt
Filed under: Solenopsis geminata
Lineage: Eukaryota; Metazoa; Arthropoda; Insecta; Hymenoptera; Formicidae
Description: tRNA-Glu
Source: RNAcentral